AGCGAACGCUGGCGGCAGGCUUAACACAUGCAAGUCGAGCGGGCAUCUUCGGAUGUCGGCGGCAGACGGGUGAGUAACACGUGGGAACGUACCCUUCGGUUCGGAACAACUCUGGGAAACUGGAGCUAAUACCGGAUACGCCCUUAUGGGGAAAGGUUUACUGCCGAAGGAUCGGCGCGCGGCUGAUUAGCUGGUUGGUGGGGUUACGGCCUACCAAGGCGACGAUCAGUAGCUGGUCUGAGAGGAAGAUCCGCCACACUGGGACUGAGACACGGCCCAGAAUCCUACGGGAGGGAGCAGUGGGGAAUAUUGGACAGUGGGGGCAGGCCUGAUCCAGCCAUGCCGGGUGAGUGAUGAAGGCCUUAGGGUUGUAAAGCUCUUUUGUCCGGGACGAUAAUGACGGUACCGGAAGAAUAAGCCCCGGCUAACUUCGUG
RNAcentral lists this ribosomal RNA (435 nucleotides) under uncultured bacterium. RNAcentral describes it as "partial 16S ribosomal RNA". It matches the Rfam family "Bacterial small subunit ribosomal RNA", at positions 29 to 507 of the family's 1533-position model. The record is from RNAcentral.